UACUACGAGGAGUCGUUGGCCAGAGUUACCAAGGGGACAUUGCAGUCGAUGAUGUGAUAUUGGCGGAUGGAAUGUGUCUAAAUCAAACCGAAACCUCAAGCGAUCAGUUAGGAAAUUGCAACUUUGAUUCCCAUUUUUGCUUUUGGAAGCCGGAUACAAAGACAACUUUUCAAUGGUUAAUUGGAAUGUCCACUCCAAGCUUU
Molecule: long non-coding RNA, 203 nt
Organism: Stylophora pistillata
Lineage: Eukaryota; Metazoa; Cnidaria; Anthozoa; Scleractinia; Pocilloporidae
Source: RefSeq, a predicted model, not a curated record